AUUGAACGCUGGCGGCAUGCCUUACACAUGCAAGUCGAACGGCAGCACGGGAGCAAUCCUGGUGGCGAGUGGCGAACGGGUGAGUAAAGUAUCGGAACGUGCCCAGUCGUGGGGGAUAACGUAGCGAAAGUUACGCUAAUAUCGCAUACGAUCUAUGGAUGAAAGCGGGGGAUCGCAAGAACUCGCGCGAUUGGAGCGGCCGAUAUCAGAUUAGGUAGUUGGUGGGGUAAAGGCUCACCAAGCCGACGAUCUGUAGCUGGUCUGAGAGGACGACCAGCCACACUGGGACUGAGACACGGCCCAGACUCCUACGGGAGGCAGCAGUGGGGAAUUUUGGACAAUGGGCGCAAGCCUGAUCCAGCCAUGCCGCGUGCAGGAUGAAGGCCUUCGGGUUGUAAACUGCUUUUGUACGGAACGAAAAGGUUUGACUUAAUACGUUGGACUCAUGACGGUACCGUAAGAAUAAGCACCGGCUAACUACGUGCCAGCCGCCGCAGUAA
This 500-nucleotide ribosomal RNA is filed under the name uncultured bacterium. RNAcentral's name for it is "partial 16S ribosomal RNA". It matches the Rfam family "Bacterial small subunit ribosomal RNA", at positions 30 to 523 of the family's 1533-position model. The record is from RNAcentral.